Molecule: small RNA, 48 nt
Filed under: Sinorhizobium meliloti 2011
Lineage: Bacteria; Pseudomonadati; Pseudomonadota; Alphaproteobacteria; Hyphomicrobiales; Rhizobiaceae
Description: putative ncRNA
Source: RNAcentral
AUCGAACCACGGGAGUUACCUAGGUCGGGUCGACCUACAUGGCCGUGA